AUUGAACGCUGGCGGCAUGCUUUACACAUGCAAGUCGAACGGCAGCGGGGAGGAGCUUGCUUCUCUGCCGGCGAGUGGCGAACGGGUGAGUAAUACAUCGGAACGUGUCGAGAAGAGGGGGAUAACCACCCGAAAGGGUGGCUAAUACCGCAUAAAUUCUGAGGAAGAAAGCUGGGGACCUAGGAAUAGGCCUAGCGCUUUUUGAGCGGCCGAUGUCGGAUUAGCUAGUUGGUGAGGUAAAGGCUCACCAAGGCGAAGAUCUGUAGCGGGUCUGAGAGGAUGAUCCGCCACACUGGGACUGAGGCACGGCCCAGACUCCUACGGGAGGCAGCAGUGGGGAAUUUUGGACAAUGGGGGCAACCCUGAUCCAGCCAUGCCGCGUGUAUGAAGAAGGCCUUAGGGUUGUAAAGUACUUUUGUUAGGGAAGAAAAGUCAGCUGUGAAUAAUGGCUGAUACUGACGGUACCUAAAGAAUAAGCACCGGCUAACUACGUG
RNAcentral lists this ribosomal RNA (494 nucleotides) under uncultured bacterium. Its description in RNAcentral is "partial 16S ribosomal RNA". It matches the Rfam family "Bacterial small subunit ribosomal RNA", at positions 30 to 507 of the family's 1533-position model. The record is from RNAcentral.